RNAcentral lists this long non-coding RNA (317 nucleotides) under Panax ginseng (ginseng). RNAcentral describes it as "long non-coding RNA (PGIN_LNC002468)". The record is from RNAcentral. Lineage: Eukaryota; Viridiplantae; Streptophyta; Magnoliopsida; Apiales; Araliaceae.
UUCAUUCUUUACUUUUUACAUAUAUAUAUUAUGUAUGUGCAGAAACAAAUUGGGGUUUAAAAUUGUUGAUACGAGGAGUUAUCAAUUCAAUUUAUAUUUGUUUAUGUGUUAUAAUUUGUCAUUGCGUAUUUGCGUUGUUAGAUUUGCUUUUAUUGAGAUUUAUAUGCACUCCCAAGUCUCAAAUAAUGCUAGGAAUUAGGAUUGGUGGAGCUAAUGGACUGUUUCGUAAAUACAGUGAAAUUAUGGACCUGUGGUUAGAAGAAAUAAUGCUAGGAAAUAGGAUUAUUUUCUGGAGUUGGGACUUGGGAAGCUCAAUG